Molecule: transfer RNA, 63 nt
Filed under: Haustorioides koreanus
Lineage: Eukaryota; Metazoa; Arthropoda; Malacostraca; Amphipoda; Dogielinotidae
Description: tRNA-Lys
Source: RNAcentral
CGUUUAGUGUCCGAAUUUAUGGUGUAAGUCUUUUAAAUUUAUUAUAGUUAAUACUCUAAACGU